AUCCAGCUGACGGGCCCCGAAUAGGACGAAACGUGUGUCCUGGAU
This 45-nucleotide non-coding RNA is filed under the name Schistosoma mattheei. The record is from RNAcentral. Lineage: Eukaryota; Metazoa; Platyhelminthes; Trematoda; Strigeidida; Schistosomatidae.